This 201-nucleotide ribosomal RNA is filed under the name uncultured bacterium. RNAcentral's name for it is "partial 16S ribosomal RNA". It matches the Rfam family "Bacterial small subunit ribosomal RNA", at positions 1300 to 1500 of the family's 1533-position model. The record is from RNAcentral.
GCAGGCUGCAACUCGCCUGCAUGAAGUCGGAAUUGCUAGUAAUCGCGGAUCAGCAUGCCGCGGUGAAUACGUUCCCGGGCCUUGUACACACCGCCCGUCACACCAUGAGAGCCGGUAACACCCGAAGUCAGAAGCCUAACCGCAAGGAGGGCGCUGCCGAAGGUGGGUUCGAUAAUUGGGGUGAAGUCGUAACAAGGUAGC